UACAGAGGGGGCAAGCGUUAUUCGGAAUUAUUGGGCGUAAAGGGCGCGUAGGCGGCCGUGCAAGUGGAAGGUGAAAUCCCUCGGCUCAACCGAGGAACUGCCUUUCAAACUGCAUGGCUUGAGUCCGGGAGAGGUGAGUGGAAUUCCCAGUGUAGCGGUGAAAUGCGUAGAUAUUGGGAGGAACACCAGUGGCGAAGGCGGCUCACUGGACCGGAACUGACGCUGAGGCGCGAAAGCGUGGGGAGCAAACGGGG
This 254-nucleotide ribosomal RNA is filed under the name uncultured bacterium. RNAcentral describes it as "partial 16S ribosomal RNA". It matches the Rfam family "Bacterial small subunit ribosomal RNA", at positions 524 to 777 of the family's 1533-position model. The record is from RNAcentral.